RNAcentral lists this ribosomal RNA (508 nucleotides) under uncultured bacterium. RNAcentral's name for it is "bacterial SSU rRNA". It matches the Rfam family "Bacterial small subunit ribosomal RNA", at positions 48 to 523 of the family's 1533-position model. The record is from RNAcentral.
CUAAUACAUGCAAGUCGAGCGAGCUGAACCAACAGAUUCACUUCGGUGAUGACGUUGGGAACGCGAGCGGCGGAUGGGUGAGUAACACGUGGGGAACCUGCCCCAUAGUCUGGGAUACCACUUGGAAACAGGUGCUAAUACCGGAUAAGAAAGCAGAUCGCAUGAUCAGCUUAUAAAAGGCGGCGUAAGCUGUCGCUAUGGGAUGGCCCCGCGGUGCAUUAGCUAGUUGGUAGGGUAACGGCCUACCAAGGCAAUGAUGCAUAGCCGAGUUGAGAGACUGAUCGGCCACAUUGGGACUGAGACACGGCCCAAACUCCUACGGGAGGCAGCAGUAGGGAAUCUUCCACAAUGGACGAAAGUCUGAUGGAGCAACGCCGCGUGAGUGAAGAAGGUUUUCGGAUCGUAAAGCUCUGUUGUUGGUGAAGAAGGAUAGAGGUAGUAACUGGCCUUUAUUUGACGGUAAUCAACCAGAAAGUCACGGCUAACUACGUGCCAGCAGCCGCGGUAA